Molecule: ribosomal RNA, 253 nt
Filed under: uncultured bacterium
Lineage: Bacteria
Description: partial 16S ribosomal RNA
Rfam family: Bacterial small subunit ribosomal RNA
Source: RNAcentral
GACGUAGGGGGCGAGCGUUGUCCGGAUUUAUUGGGCGUAAAGCGUGCGUAGGCGGCUGCGCAAGUCGGUUGUGAAACCCCGGGGCUCAACCCCGGAACUGCAUCCGAUACUGCGUGGCUAGAGGUAGGUAGGGGAGAUCGGAAUUCCUGGUGUAGCGGUGAAAUGCGCAGAUAUCAGGAGGAACACCGGUGGCGAAGGCGGCUCUCUGGACCGAUACUGACGCUGAGGCGCGAAAGCGUGGGGAGCAAACAGG